ACUCAAAUGAAUUGACGGGGACCCGCACAAGCGGUGGAGCGUGUUCUUUAAUUCGAGGCUAAACGAAGAACCUUACCAGGGCUUGACAUCCCGAUAACCGAUUUCCGAAAGGAAAUUCUCAUUUAGUUGGAUCGGUGACAGGUGAUGCAUGGCCGUCGUCAGCUCGUGUCGUGAGAUGUUUGGUUAAGUCCAUCAACGAGCGCAACCCUUAUAGUUAGUUGUAUUUUUCUAGCUAGACUGCCCUUGUAAAAGGGAGGAAGGAGGGGAUGAUGUCAGGUCAGUAUUUCCCUUACGCCCUGGGCUAGAAACGCGCUACAAUGGCCGGUACAACGGGCAGCGAAGCAGCAAUGCGGAGCAAAUCCCAUCAAAACCGGUCCCAGUUCGGAUAGAAGGCUGAAACUCGCCUUCUUGAAGCCGGAAUCGCUAGUAAUCGCAAGUCAGCAAAUUGCGGUGAAUACGUUCCCGGGUCUUGUACACACCGCCCGU
This 486-nucleotide ribosomal RNA is filed under the name uncultured bacterium. Its description in RNAcentral is "bacterial SSU rRNA". It matches the Rfam family "Bacterial small subunit ribosomal RNA", at positions 899 to 1397 of the family's 1533-position model. The record is from RNAcentral.